RNAcentral lists this RNase P RNA (431 nucleotides) under Bradyrhizobium rifense. Its description in RNAcentral is "RNase P RNA component class A". It matches the Rfam family "Bacterial RNase P class A". Rfam says of the family: Ribonuclease P (RNase P) is a ubiquitous endoribonuclease, found in archaea, bacteria and eukarya as well as chloroplasts and mitochondria. Its best characterised activity is the generation of mature 5'-ends of tRNAs by cleaving the 5'-leader elements of precursor-tRNAs. Cellular RNase Ps are ribonucleoproteins. Lineage: Bacteria; Pseudomonadati; Pseudomonadota; Alphaproteobacteria; Hyphomicrobiales; Nitrobacteraceae. The record is from RNAcentral.
UCAGUCGGCCGGACGGCCGCUCCGGCAAGUGCCGAAAGGCCGCCGGGGAGGAAAGUCCGGGCUCCCUUGACAUACGGUGCCGGAUAACGUCCGGCGGGGGCAACCCCAGGGAAAGUGCCACAGAGAACGAACCGCCCGCCUCCGCAGCGCAAGCUGCGAAGGCAGGUAAGGGUGAAAAGGUGCGGUAAGAGCGCACCGCGGAUCCGGCAACGGAGCCGGCAUGGUAAACCCCACCGGGAGCAAAACCGAAUAGGGACGGCGUAGCGGGCUGUUCGCGCAAGCGAUAACGCCGCGGGGCGAUGUCAGGCCCGCCGUCCGGGUAGGUUGCUCGAGGCCAUGUGCAAACAUGGUCCCAGAGGAAUGGCCGUCACGUAUCGUUCGCGCAAGCGGACGGUGCCUUACAGAACCCGGCUUACAGGCCGGCUGAUAUU